This 495-nucleotide ribosomal RNA is filed under the name uncultured bacterium. Its description in RNAcentral is "partial 16S ribosomal RNA". It matches the Rfam family "Bacterial small subunit ribosomal RNA", at positions 28 to 507 of the family's 1533-position model. The record is from RNAcentral.
GAUGAACGCUGGCGGCGUGCCUAAUACAUGCAAGUCGAACGCUGAAGGAGGAGCUUGCUCUUCUGGAUGAGUUGCGAACGGGUGAGUAACGCGUAGGUAACCUGCCUGGUAGCGGGGGAUAACUAUUGGAAACGAUAGCUAAUACCGCAUGACAACAGUUAUUGCAUGAUAACUGUUUAAAAGGGGCAACUGCUCCACUACCAGAUGGCCCUGCGUUGUAUUAGCUAGUUGGUGAGGUAACGGCUCACCAAGGCGACGAUACAUAGCCGACCUGAGAGGGUGACCGGCCACACUGGGACUGAGACACGGCCCAGACUCCUACGGGAGGCAGCAGUAGGGAAUCUUCGGCAAUGGACGGAAGUCUGACCGAGCAACGCCGCGUGAGUGAAGAAGGUUGUCGGAUCGUAAAGCUCUGUUGUAAGAGAAGAACGAGUGUGAGGGUGGAAAGUUCACACUGUGACGGUAGCUUACCAGAAAGGGACGGCUAACUACGUG